Molecule: ribosomal RNA, 253 nt
Filed under: uncultured bacterium
Lineage: Bacteria
Also listed under: 1 other name
Description: partial 16S ribosomal RNA
Rfam family: Bacterial small subunit ribosomal RNA
Source: RNAcentral
UACAGAGGGUGCAAGCGUUAAUCGGAGUUACUGGGCGUAAAGGGCGCGUAGGCGGACGUUUAAGUUUGAUGUGAAAUCCCUGGGCUUAACCUAGGAACUGCAUUGAAUACUGAACGACUAGAGUACUGUAGAGGGUAGUGGAAUUUCCGGUGUAGCGGUGAAAUGCGUAGAGAUCGGAAGGAACACCAGUGGCGAAGGCGGCUACCUGGACAGAUACUGACGCUGAGGCGCGAGAGCGUGGGGAGCAAACAGG